This 496-nucleotide ribosomal RNA is filed under the name uncultured bacterium. Its description in RNAcentral is "partial 16S ribosomal RNA". It matches the Rfam family "Bacterial small subunit ribosomal RNA", at positions 28 to 506 of the family's 1533-position model. The record is from RNAcentral.
GAUGAACGCUGGCGGCGUGCCUAAUACAUGCAAGUCGAGCGAACGGACGAGAAGCUUGCUUCUCUGAUGUUAGCGGCGGACGGGUGAGUAACACGUGGAUAACCUACCUAUAAGACUGGGAUAACUUCGGGAAACCGGAGCUAAUACCGGAUAAUAUUUUGAACCGCAUGGUUCAAAAGUGAAAGACGGUCUUGCUGUCACUUAUAGAUGGAUCCGCGCUGCAUUAGCUAGUUGGUAAGGUAACGGCUUACCAAGGCAACGAUGCAUAGCCUACCUGAGAGGGUGAGCGGCCACACUGGAACUGAGAAACGGUCCAGACUCCUACGGGAGGCAGCAGUAGGGAAUCUUCCGCAAUGGGAGAAAGCAUGACGGAGCAACGCCGCGGGAGUGAAGAAGGUUUUCGGAUCGUAAAACUCUUUUAUUAGGGAAGAAAAUAUGUGGAAGUAACUGUGCAAAUUUUGACGGUACCAAAACAAAAAGCCACGGAUAACUACGG